Molecule: ribosomal RNA, 271 nt
Filed under: uncultured archaeon
Lineage: Archaea
Description: partial 16S ribosomal RNA
Rfam family: Archaeal small subunit ribosomal RNA
Source: RNAcentral
CGGCGUCACGAGUGGCAAUCACGUUUAUUGGGUCUAAAGCGUUCGUAGCCGGUUUAGUAAAUCUUUUGUGAAAUUGUCGGGCUUAACCUGACACCGUGCAGAAGACACUGCUAAACUAGAGACCGGGAGGGGUUAGAAGUAUUUCAGGGGGAGCGGUAAAAUGUUGUAAUCCCUGAAAGACUACCAAUGGCGAAGGCAUCUAACCAGAACGGAUCUGACGGUGAGGAACGAAGGCUAGGGGAGCGAACCGGAUUAGAUACCCGAGUAGUCC